RNAcentral lists this ribosomal RNA (302 nucleotides) under uncultured bacterium. RNAcentral's name for it is "partial 16S ribosomal RNA". It matches the Rfam family "Bacterial small subunit ribosomal RNA", at positions 508 to 807 of the family's 1533-position model. The record is from RNAcentral.
GCAGCCGCCGCGGUAAUACAGAGGGUGCAAGCGUUAAUCGGAAUUACUGGGCGUAAAGCGCGCGUAGGUGGUUUGUUAAGUUGGAUGUGAAAUCCCCGGGCUCAACCUGGGAACUGCAUCCAAAACUGGCAAGCUAGAGUAUGGUAGAGGGUGGUGGAAUUUCCUGUGUAGCGGUGAAAUGCGUAGAUAUAGGAAGGAACACCAGUGGCGAAGGCGACCACCUGGACUGAUACUGACACUGAGGUGCGAAAGCGUGGGGAGCAAACAGGAUUAGAGACCCCUGUAGUCCCUGUCUCUUAUAC